AAAAUCGCUAGUAUCCUUCAUCCAUCAAACAUAUCUAUCUGUUACACCAACAUCACCCUCCACCUUCUAAUCUGCCAUCGACACUCAACACCGGUGACCGUCAACCACCACCUCCACCCUCUUCACCUUCCGACCGGAACCCUAACGUCGCCGCCGCCGGCCCCUCCGUCCUUAACCCCAAUCUCCGACGGAACCAUCCACGCAUCACCGCCGCCCUCAGCCUUCCUUCCACCCACGCGACGUCCUCCACCUGCUUCGUCACCCUUCUCCGUCAUCUCCGCCACUCGCUGACCACCUCCACAUCUCCAUUGCCGGCACCGCCCUGAAUAGCACCGCCGGUCAACCACAGCCUUACUUCUCCGUCGCCGGUUCCAAUUAGGAACAACAUCAGAUUAUUGAAGUCGCCUUGCAUAUCACGACUCGUUUAAGUUUCAACGGUGAUGCUCUUGAUGAUUGUUGAUAAACCAACCGUCGUGGAAAUAUGAGUGAAACGAAACGAACAACUGCAACCACCUUUGUAGAUUCCUUACACACUCAUCUCCGAGCCUCGAGGACGAUGCUAUAUCUUAAGCUUGGGGAGGUUGAGAUUUGAGGUAAUUUCUAUGUUCUCAUUUUAUCUAUGCAUUACUUAGUUUGUAAAUAGUUGCAUUUUCCAUGAUCAUUGCAUUUAGAGUGUAUAUACAUGCAAAAAAAGAAAAAAAGAAAAAAAAGUAAAAAAAAAAAAAAAACCGUUUCUGUUCCGCUGAAAAUGGUUUGUGAAAAAUGAGAAAUGAUAUGAUUUCUAGCAUGUCAAAGCUUAUGCGUGAAAUGGUAACUUUGGGGAAGAAAACAUAGAUGACUCGGGAUGUGUUGAUAGGCUCGGCCCUAACUUAGGAACGCCAAUGUUGUAUGCAAUAACCUUAAUUAUAUACGUGUUUAGUUUCCCAUCUUGAUGCUUGUGGUUAAAAAUUGAUCCCGACCAAAAAUCGGUUGAGUUGCAUAUCCUCUAUCACACACCAUGUUCCCCAUAUCAUGACACCUCCGUAAUUUCAUUGAAAAAAUAAAGAGGUGAAAAAUUGACCUCAAAGAGGUGAAAAAUUGACCUCAUAUGUUAUUAUAGUUAAAAAAAAACAAAAAAAAAAAAAAAAAAGAGAAAAAGGAAGGGGUAAAAGAGCACAAUGUAUGCCAAAAAUUUGAAAAAAAAAAAUCGAAAUCGAAAUAAAAAAAAAAAUAUUUGAGCAAAUUAGGGAGAAAAGUCCCGACCCCUUGAAAAACGGAAAAAAAGAUAAUAACUAUCGUGUCAUGAUUUGGGUGCAUGGUCGCAUCAAGUGUGGUUUUGGAUAUCUUCAAAAAGUCGUGAGGUUGGGUAGAUGUUGCCAUAGGUGUUGGGCGUGGGGACGAUUGAACCAUGUUGGUAAGUUUGUAUAUUAUUAAGCAGAAAACAUUUGGUUGUGAUUAAGCGGGUUUGAGUUUAAAGGGACACAAAAUAUCAACAAUCGCGGUUACACGUGUUAGUAUUUCUCGGGUUCGAAUGAAUGUAAUAAGAGUUGGCAAUGUUGGAUGUGAUCUCAUUAAAAGUUUAUUUUCUGGAAUAAAAGAAGCGGGUUGAAAAAAAAAUAGUAAGCAUGCAUAUGUGUUUUAUUUUUCGUGUUUAUUUCUCAGUUUAUUCUUGUUCUUGACUUCCUUGAGGACAAGGAAAGGUUUAAGCUUGGGGAGAUUUGUUAGUUGCAUUUUUAGGCACGUUUCUAUAGCAUAUUUAUGUUAAAAUUUCAUCACAUUUCAUGCAUAUUUCAUAGCCAUACCUCAUUAUUUUGCGAAACACUUGUUUUUGUGUGGAGUAAUUGCUAAGGAUUACAAUGGAUUUCUGAAAGAACUUGAGGAGUGCAUCUAAAAAGAAGGUGUUUAUUAAUGAAGAUAACUCAUUCAACAUGUGAAUUAAAUGGCUGGACUAUUCUGGUGCAAAGUCAAGAAAUAUAAAGUGAUCAUUGUGUUGCAACAAAUAAAGAUUUUUGUGGGCUGAAUUUUAGAGGUAUGGAAUUAAUAAGUCUAUAUGGGUUGGCCACGAGAGAGAAAGCAAGGACAAUUAUAAUUGGGCUAAGCAAUAUGG
This 2086-nucleotide long non-coding RNA is filed under the name Helianthus annuus (common sunflower). Its description in RNAcentral is "hypothetical non coding rna". Lineage: Eukaryota; Viridiplantae; Streptophyta; Magnoliopsida; Asterales; Asteraceae. The record is from RNAcentral.